GCGACGUGUGAUAUUUGCGGGUGUGGGGAUGAGGAUGAACAUCACGCAGUGGUAGAAUGUACUAAGAGUAGGGCACUCAGACACAAAAUGAGGAAGGAGUGGAAUAUCCCAUCUGAAAAGCUAUUCCGGAAUACUGGUGAAGAUUGGCUGCAGAUCUUACUGAGCUCUGUCUUGAAGGAUGUCCGCGUGAAAAUUUUGUUGUUGCUGUGGAGGUGCUGGCACCUUCGGGACAAUUGCAUUCAUGGUGAUGGCAAGGAAUCGGUUGGAGCAUCCGCUGCCUACCUGUCGAACAUGUAUGAGGAGUGGAUGAACAGGGGUGAAGCCGGACAGGUGCCCGACGGGAAGGACAGGGGGGUUCAGACAAACUCCUACCCAAGUACACAUCAAAAUCAAAUAAGGCAAUGGACUGCACCCCCGAGGGGCACUGCGAAGCUGAAUACCGAUGCCUCCUUCAUGCCAAACUCCAGCCAAUGUUGGGGUGGCGCAGUUGCUCGAGAUCAUAAAGGGCAUGUCUUCCUGUCUGUAGGAAGAGAGUUGGGCGAAGCAAUUGAUGCCCAGGAAGCAGAGGGGCUUGCAAGCGUUGUCGCCCCGCUAUAA
Molecule: ribosomal RNA, 597 nt
Filed under: Triticum aestivum (bread wheat)
Lineage: Eukaryota; Viridiplantae; Streptophyta; Magnoliopsida; Poales; Poaceae
Description: partial small subunit ribosomal RNA
Source: RNAcentral